RNAcentral lists this ribosomal RNA (275 nucleotides) under uncultured prokaryote. RNAcentral's name for it is "partial 16S ribosomal RNA". It matches the Rfam family "Bacterial small subunit ribosomal RNA", at positions 524 to 798 of the family's 1533-position model. The record is from RNAcentral.
UACGUAGGGUGCGAGCGUUGUCCGGAAUUACUGGGCGUAAAGAGCUCGUAGGCGGUUUGUCGCGUCGUCCGUGAAAACUCGGAGCUUAACUCCGGGCGUGCGGGCGAUACGGGCAGACUUGAGUACUACAGGGGAGACUGGAAUUCCUGGUGUAGCGGUGAAAUGCGCAGAUAUCAGGAGGAACACCGGUGGCGAAGGCGGGUCUCUGGGUAGUAACAGACGCUGAGGAGCGAAAGCAUGGGUAGCGAACAGGAUUAGAUACCCUGGUAGUCCCU